RNAcentral lists this ribosomal RNA (495 nucleotides) under uncultured bacterium. Its description in RNAcentral is "partial 16S ribosomal RNA". It matches the Rfam family "Bacterial small subunit ribosomal RNA", at positions 28 to 507 of the family's 1533-position model. The record is from RNAcentral.
GACGAACGCUGGCGGCGUGCCUAAUACAUGCAAGUAGAACGCUGAAGGAGGAGCUUGCUUCUCCGGAUGAGUUGCGAACGGGUGAGUAACGCGUAGGUAACCUGCCUGGUAGCGGGGGAUAACUAUUGGAAACGAUAGCUAAUACCGCAUAACAGUAGAUGUUGCAUGACAUUUGCUUAAAAGGUGCAAUUGCAUCACUACCAGAUGGACCUGCGUUGUAUUAGCUAGUUGGUGAGGUAACGGCUCACCAAGGCGACGAUGCAUAGCCGACCUGAGAGGGGGAUCGGCCACCCUGGGACUGGGACACGGCCCAGGCUCCUACGGGGGGCAGCAGUAGGGAAUCUUCGGCAAUGGACGGAAGUCUGACCGAGCCACGCCGCGUGAGUGAAGAAGGUUUUCGGAUCGUAAAGCUCUGUUGUAAGAGAAGAACGAGUGUGAGAGUGGAAAGUUCACACUGUGACGGUAUCUUACCAGAAAGGGACGGCUAACUACGUG